This 1346-nucleotide ribosomal RNA is filed under the name uncultured bacterium. RNAcentral's name for it is "partial 16S ribosomal RNA". It matches the Rfam family "Bacterial small subunit ribosomal RNA", at positions 28 to 1381 of the family's 1533-position model. The record is from RNAcentral.
GACGAACGCUGGCGGCGUGCUUAACACAUGCAAGUCGAGCGGAAAGGCCCUGCUUUUGUGGGGUGCUCGAGUGGCGAACGGGUGAGUAACACGUGAGUAACCUGCCCUUGACUUUGGGAUAACUUCAGGAAACUGGGGCUAAUACCGGAUAGGAGCUCCUGCUGCAUGGUGGGGGUUGGAAAGUUUCGGCGGUUGGGGAUGGACUCGCGGCUUAUCAGCUUGUUGGUGGGGUAGUGGCUUACCAAGGCUUUGACGGGUAGCCGGCCUGAGAGGGUGACCGGCCACAUUGGGACUGAGAUACGGCCCAGACUCCUACGGGAGGCAGCAGUGGGGAAUAUUGCACAAUGGGCGGAAGCCUGAUGCAGCAACGCCGCGUGCGGGAUGACGGCCUUCGGGUUGUAAACCGCUUUCGCCUGUGACGAAGCGUGAGUGACGGUAAUGGGUAAAGAAGCACCGGCUAACUACGUGCCAGCAGCCGCGGUGAUACGUAGGGUGCGAGCGUUGUCCGGAUUUAUUGGGCGUAAAGGGCUCGUAGGUGGUUGAUCGCGUCGGAAGUGUAAUCUUGGGGCUUAACCCUGAGCGUGCUUUCGAUACGGGUUGACUUGAGGAAGGUAGGGGAGAAUGGAAUUCCUGGUGGAGCGGUGGAAUGCGCAGAUAUCAGGAGGAACACCAGUGGCGAAGGCGGUUCUCUGGGCCUUUCCUGACGCUGAGGAGCGAAAGCGUGGGGAGCGAACAGGCUUAGAUACCCUGGUAGUCCACGCUGUAAACGGUGGGUACUAGGUGUGGGGUCCAUUCCACGGGUUCCGUGCCGUAGCUAACGCUUUAAGUACCCCGCCUGGGGAGUACGGCCGCAAGGCUAAAACUCAAAGGAAUUGACGGGGCCCCGCACAAGCGGCGGAGCAUGCGGAUUAAUUCGAUGCAACGCGUAGAACCUUACCUGGGUUUGACAUGGAUCGGGAGUGCUCAGAGAUGGGUGUGCCUCUUUUGGGGUCGGUUCACAGGUGGUGCAUGCCUGUCGUCAGCUCGUGUCGUGAGAUGUUGGGUUAAGUCCCGCAACGAGCGCAACCCUUGUUCACUGUUGCCAGCACGUUAUGGUGGGGACUCAGUGGAGACCGCCGGGGCCAACUCGGAGGAAGGUGGGGAUGACGUCAAGUCAUCAUGCCCCUUAUGUCCAGGGCUUCACGCAUGCUACAAUGGCUGGUACAGAGAGUGGCGAGCCUGUGAGGGUGAGCGAAUCUCGGAAAGCCGGUCUCAGUUCGGAUUGAGGUCUGCAACUCGACCUCAUGAAGUCGGAGUCGCUAGUAAUCGCAGAUCAGCAACGCUGCGGUGAAUACGUUCCCGGGGCU